Molecule: long non-coding RNA, 2119 nt
Organism: Capsicum annuum
Lineage: Eukaryota; Viridiplantae; Streptophyta; Magnoliopsida; Solanales; Solanaceae
Exons: 3
Source: RefSeq, a predicted model, not a curated record
UCCUCUGCCGUAAGAUGUUAUCUGAUUGCUUCAGGUUGUAAAAUAAUUAUCAAUUGAAUGACUUCAAUUAGUACUUUGGUUUCCAUCUUAUGUGUUGGUUAUGUUCAACUGAUAUGGAAUGAACACUUAUUGUUGUAGAGCCAAUACAUUUGUGGAGUACAACAAACUGGCUAUUGCGCUUUCGCUUUUGUUCCUUACAAGUUGCUUCAUGUCAAGGAUGUGAGCAUGUACUUCGCUGUUAAUUUUCUUCCACUUUCCAUUUUGGGGUGGGUGUGGAGGGCAAAGAAUGUCCACUACACUGUUAAUGACCUAUUAGUUUGUUUCUAAUAUUUGAUUCUUCUUAGUCUCCAAAUUGAUGUUUCAGUUACUCAUUUUAUCAUAGGGCAUAUCACAUAAAAGAGAUGUCCAUUUUGUCAUAUGUAGCACUAUCCUAUGCAUGUAAAAGUGCCAUAUGCAUCCCAUUGCUAAUAUCUUUUUUCAGAGAUCGUGUGGGUGAACCCCAUCGGUGGUAAUCUGAAGCAAUAUGCCAAAGAAGCAUGGGAUGACCUGCAUAAAUUUCUAUCAUCUUCUACUGGACGAGCUGCCAUUGUCUCCCGAAUUUAAAGAAGUUAACCCCAUGAAGCAAGUACCAGCUAUAAUGAAUGAAAGAUUUAAGCUUUCCGAAAGGUAAUGUUUAGCUUGAACAGAAAAUUUAGCAUUUCCUAAUAUCACAAUGUUAUUAACGUCUAUUAUUCGCUGUCUAUGUUGUACUUACACAUAUCUUAAAGCUUUACAUUUAGUCAUUUAUCUCCUAGAAGUUCAUAGUUUGAUGUAUUCACCUUCCAAUGUAUACUACAAGAGCCAAAAUUAGAAAAUACUCAUUCUGUUAAGUUUAGAACAUUUUCUGUAAAGAUCUGUAUGUACUAUGCUAGCGCAAUGCCCGCACAAAUAACUACUGUGGACAAUGCAUGUGGCGAUAGGACAAUGUUAUCUUUUCCUGAGUUUCAUGUGAAGUAUUUUAUAACUUGGAUAAGUUUAAAGCAAGCUAACUGAUUGUAUGUGCUUGCAGUCAUGCAAUUCUUAAAUAUCUGGCUUGUGCAUUUCCAGGAGUUGCAGAUCAUUGGUAAGUGCAGCUACUUAUUUUCACUAUAUACUUUAGUCAAAUGCUUUUUAAUCAUGGAAAUACGUACUCUUUAAAGCUCUUGAUCUUUAUAUAGAAUACGAUCCCAGGCACAUCCCGGUUUUGAACUUGAUGAGUUCAACUUUUAUAUUCCCACCGUUACAGUUCAAAAUUUAAUAGUUAUUAAAAAAGUUAGUGAUCACACACACACACACAUAUAUAUAUAUAUAUAUAUAUAUAUAUAUAUAUAUAUAAGUUCCAUGUCGAAAAUGUUGGGUUUAGCAUAAUCCAUGGAACUCAUUGCAUCUUCCUCUGAACAUGGCAAUCGGAGUUACAAAUAGAACUAUUCUGCAGUCGGCAUCUGUGAGAAGUUAAUCCAUAUGUAUCUAUUAUUUGAUUGCAAAUUGCAUGUUGUGUUUCUAACAGGGAGUUAAAGUAGUAGAGUUUUGCUAAAAAUACAUCGUCGCCAUUUCACGUGCCGCCGUUGAAAACUCAACAGCGAUGGAUCAUCCAAACGGUGCGGAGCAGAAGAGUAAUUCGGGUUAGGAUUCGGAUCAGGUUCAAAAGCCGGAUCCAAAAUCUGAUCCGGAACAACCUGAAAGUACCAAUGAGAGUGGUAAAUUGGAGAAAUUGAGGAAAUUGGUGAGGUGGAACGAGGAAUUGGUAGAAGAAUCAGCGGCACCGAUGAGAUCUAUGCCGUCCGAUGAACGUGGAUCGAAUCCUUAUAUGGCUUACUCACCUGCUCCCUAAAAUAAUUCCUCUUCCUUUAAUAUGAAAGUGAUGAAUAAACAGUCCACAAGGAUAUGAAGGAACAACGAUAUGCUGCAAAACAAGUACUGAAGAUGACGAGGGUGUUAGAAAAUAGUUCCUUCAUCUUCCACAUUUGUAACUCUCAGUGGCUUUAAUUGUAUAUUACUCAUUGAAUUAUUGCAUUGCUAAUUAAUUGUUGACCCUCAUUAAUCCUUUCUGUAAAAACAAAUAAUUUUCUUUAUAAUAAUCUACGACAAUAUCUAUUAUUAA